GCCAGACUCCUACGGGGGCAGCAGUGAGGAAUAUUGGUCAAUGGGAGAGAUCCUGAGCCAGCCAAGCCGCGUGAGGGAAGACGGCCCUAUGGGUUGUAAACCUCUUUUGUCGGAGAACAAAACCCGGGACGUGUCCCGGACUGCGUGUAUCCGAAGAAAAAGCAUCGGCUAACUCCGUGCCAGCAGCCGCGGUAAUACGGAGGAUGCGAGCGUUAUCCGGAUUUAUUGGGUUUAAAGGGUGCGUAGGCGGACUGGAAAGUCAGCGGUAAAAUCGAGAGGCUCAACCUCUGUCCGCCGUUGAAACUGUCGGUCUUGAGUGGGCGAGAAGUAUGCGGAAUGCGUGGUGUAGCGGUGAAAUGCAUAGAUAUCACGCAGAACUCCGAUUGCGAAGGCAGCAUACCGGCGCCCGACUGACGCUGAGGCACGAAAGCGUGGGUAUCGAACAGGAUUAGAUACCCUCGUAA
RNAcentral lists this ribosomal RNA (464 nucleotides) under uncultured bacterium. RNAcentral describes it as "bacterial SSU rRNA". It matches the Rfam family "Bacterial small subunit ribosomal RNA", at positions 330 to 793 of the family's 1533-position model. The record is from RNAcentral.